GAACUCGGAGAUAGCUGGUUCUCCCCGAAAUAGCUUUAGGGCUAGCGUCGAGGUAAAGUCGUGUGAAGGUAGAGCACUGAAUAUGUGAUGGCCCCAUCUCGGGGUACUGAACAUAAUCAAACUCCGAAUGUCACAAAGAUAUACUCGGCAGUCAGACAGUGGGUGAUAAGGUCCAUUGUCAAAAGGGAAACAGCCCAGACCAUCAGCUAAGGUCCCAAAAUAUAUACUAAGUGGAAAAGGAUGUGGAGAUGUCCAGACAACUAGGAGGUUGGCUCAGAAGCAGCCAUCCUUUAAAGAGUGCGUAACAGCUCACUAGUCGAAUGACUCUGCGCCGAUAAUUUACCGGGGCUAAGUAUAUUACCGAAGCUAUGGAUUUACGCGUAAGCGUGAGUGGUAGGGGAGCGUUCUAUGUGCGGAGAAGCGGUACCGUAAGGAGCCGUGGAGCGCAUAGAAGAGAGAAUGCCGGUGUGAGUAGCGAAACGUGGGUGAGAAUCCCACGCACCGAAAACCCAAGGUUUCCAGAGGAAGGUUCGUCCGCUCUGGGUAAGUCGGGACCUAAGGCGAGGCCGAGAGGCGUAGUCGAUGGACAACAGGUAGAGAUUCCUGUACUUACGGUAUGAAUGAUGGAGUGACGGAGAAGGCUAGCGGAUCCUGCUGAUGGAAAUGCAGGUGCAAGCGAGGUAGCCGACAGCCAGGCAAAUCCGGCUGUCGAAAGGCAAAGGCGUGAGGCGUAUGGAAAGCUGCGGCAAGUACAGAAGUCCGUGAAGCCAGCUUCCAAGAAAAGCUUCUAGUGAUAAUCAUACAGUAACCCGUACCGAAAAUGGACACACAUGGGUGAGGAGAGAAUCCUAAGGUGAGCGAGAGAACUAUAGCUAAGGAACUCUGCAAAAUGACUCCGUAACUUAGGGAUAAGGAGUGCUCAUAGAGAUAUGAGCCGCAGUGAAACGGCCCAAGCGACUGUUUACCAAAAACACAGCUCUAUGCUAAGUCGAAAGACGACGUAUAUGGGGUGACGCCUGCCCGGUGCUGGAAGGUUAAGAGGAUGUGUCAGCGCAAGCGAAGCAUUGAAUUGAAGCCCCAGUAAACGGCGGCCGUAACUAUAACGGUCCUAAGGUAGCGAAAUUCCUUGUCAGGUAAGUUCUGACCCGCACGAAAGGCGUAACGAUUUGGGCGCUGUCUCAGCUGUAGACUCGGUGAAGUCUUAGUACCUGUGAAGAUGCAGGUUACCCGCGACUAGACGGAAAGACCCCAUGGAGCUUUACUGUAGCUUGAUAUUGGACUUUGAUGCAAGAUGUACAGGAUAGGUAGGAGACUGAGAGACAUGCACGCCAGUGUGUGAGGAGUCAAUGUUGGGAUACUACUCUUCUUGUAUUGGAGUUCUAACCGGAUGCCAUGGAACUGGCAACGGGACAGUGUCAGGUGGGCAGUUUGACUGGGGCGGUCGCCUCCCAAAGAGUAACGGAGGCGCCCAAAGAUACCCUCAGCUUGGAUGGAAAUCAAGCGCAGAGUGCAAAGGCAUAAGGGUGUUUGACUGCGAGACCUACAAGUCGAGCAGGGACGAAAGUCGGGCUUAGUGAUCCGGCGGUGCUGAAUGGAAAGGCCGUCGCUCAACGGAUAAAAGCUACCCUGGGGAUAACAGGCUGAUCUCCCCCAAGAGUUCACAUCGACGGGGAGGUUUGGCACCUCGAUGUCGGCUCAUCGCAUCCUGGAGCGGAAGUACGUUCCAAGGGUUGGGCUGUUCGCCCA
This 1746-nucleotide ribosomal RNA is filed under the name metagenome. RNAcentral's name for it is "bacterial LSU rRNA". It matches the Rfam family "Bacterial large subunit ribosomal RNA", at positions 835 to 2587 of the family's 2925-position model. The record is from RNAcentral.